UACGAACGCUGGCGGCGUGCUUAACACAUGCAAGUCGAACGGAAAGGCCCUGCUUUUGUGGGGUGCUCGAGUGGCGAACGGGUGAGUAACACGUGAGUAACCUGCCCUUGACUUUGGGAUAACUUCAGGAAACUGGGGCUAAUACCGGAUAGGAGCUCCUGCUGCAUGGUGGGGGUUGGAAAGUUUCGGCGGUUGGGGAUGUACUCGCGGCUUAUCAGCUUGUUGGUGGGGUAGUGGCUUACCAAGGCUUUGACGGGUAGCCGGCCUGAGAGGGUGACCGGCCACAUUGGGACUGAGAUACGGCCCAGACUCCUACGGGAGGCAGCAGUGGGGAAUAUUGCACAAUGGGCGGAAGCCUGAUGCAGCAACGCCGCGUGCGGGAUGACGGCCUUCGGGUUGUAAACCGCUUUCGCCUGUGACGAAGCGUGAGUGACGGUAAUGGGUAAAGAAGCACCGGCUAACUACGUG
RNAcentral lists this ribosomal RNA (468 nucleotides) under uncultured bacterium. Its description in RNAcentral is "partial 16S ribosomal RNA". It matches the Rfam family "Bacterial small subunit ribosomal RNA", at positions 29 to 507 of the family's 1533-position model. The record is from RNAcentral.